Paramisgurnus dabryanus is the source of this 74-nucleotide small nucleolar RNA. RefSeq annotates it as small nucleolar RNA SNORD2. Lineage: Eukaryota; Metazoa; Chordata; Actinopteri; Cypriniformes; Cobitidae. The record is from RefSeq and is a predicted model, not a curated record.
GUAUGAAAUGAUGCUCAACCAUCUUUCGGGACUGACCUUUUAUGGAGAUAUUAUAUAAAUGUGACUGAUCAUAC